UAAACAGCAGAGCCGGUGAGAAAUACUCGAAGUCUCAGUAACAGUGUCUUUGUGUUCUAGCGGCCACCUGUGGAGAGAGAGAGAACGAGAGUGAAUCAUUGAAGAGCAAACUGUGAACGUGAUACCUACCCAGAAAGCUGUAAACAGCAGAGCCGGUGAGAAAUACUUGAAGUCGCAGUAACAGUGUCUUUGUGUCCUAGCGACCACCUGUGGAGAGAGAGAGAACGAGAGUGAAUCAUUGAAGAGCAAACUGUGAACGUGAUACUUACCCAGAAAGCUGUAAACAGCAGAGCCGCGGCCACCUGUGGAGAGAGAGAGAACGAGAGUGAAUCAUUGAAGCGCAAACUGUGAACGUGAUACCUACCCAGAAAGCUGUAAACAGCAGAGCCGGUGAGAAAUACUCGAAGUUUCAGUAACAGUGUCUUUGGGUCCUAGCGGCCACCUGUGGAGAGAGAACAGGACGAGAGUGAAUCAUCGAAGAGCAAACUGUGAACGUGCUACCUACCCAGAGAGCUGUGAGCAGCAGAACCGUGACUAUCUGUGGGGCACAAGGCGAACGUGGGCGGACGUACGACAGGGAACGUAAGGGCACGUGGGGCGAGGACCCCCUGCCGACCCGAGGAAAGAUACACCGACAGUGGAGAUCCUCCUUACCAGUCACACCAAAAUUAUUCUGCCUCCAGGACGGAAGAAGGAGGGCGCCACGGUUAGCAGGGUCCAGGCCGGAGCCUGACGUUUCCCUUUCCCCCCCCAGCUUAUGGUGGUUGGCACCCUCGUUGCCCUUGGCCUGUCUGCCGUGGCUGCAGCCUCCCUGGAGGGAGAAGAAGAGGCCUAUUAGUUUUAAUUUCCCCUUUCCCCAAAUUCCCAGUUCUUUUAAAUAUUUAAACUAAAUAAAGCUUGUUUUAAAUUUUACUUACCUGUUCCCGUGUUUGUCUGGUCAUUGGGUUGGCUUUGGGGACCUCCUCGAGGUGGGAGUUGCA
Molecule: non-coding RNA, 980 nt
Organism: Paramisgurnus dabryanus
Lineage: Eukaryota; Metazoa; Chordata; Actinopteri; Cypriniformes; Cobitidae
Source: RefSeq, a predicted model, not a curated record